RNAcentral lists this ribosomal RNA (468 nucleotides) under uncultured bacterium. RNAcentral describes it as "partial 16S ribosomal RNA". It matches the Rfam family "Bacterial small subunit ribosomal RNA", at positions 28 to 507 of the family's 1533-position model. The record is from RNAcentral.
GACGAACGCUGGCGGCGUGCUUAACACAUGCAAGUCGAACGGAAAGGCCCUGCUUCUGUGGGGUGCUCGAGUGGCGAACGGGUGAGUAACACGUGAGUAACCUGCCCUUGACUUUGGGAUAACUUCAGGAAACUGGGGCUAAUACCGGAUAGGAGCUCCUGCUGCAUGGUGGGGGUUGGAAAGUUUCGGCGGUUGGGGAUGGACUCGCGGCUUAGCAGCUUGUUGGUGGGGUAGUGGCUUACCAAGGCUUUGACGGGUAGCCGGCCUGAGAGGGUGACCGGCCACAUUGGGACUGAGGUACGGCCCAGACUGCUACGGGAGGCAGCAGUGGGGGAUUUUGCGCGAUGGGCGGAAGCCUGGUGCAGCAACGCCGCGUGCGGGAUGACGGCCUUCGGGUUGUAAACCGCUUUCGCCUGUGACGAAGCGUGAGUGACGGUAAUGGGUAAGGAAGCACCGGCUAACUACGUG